RNAcentral lists this ribosomal RNA (492 nucleotides) under uncultured bacterium. RNAcentral's name for it is "partial 16S ribosomal RNA". It matches the Rfam family "Bacterial small subunit ribosomal RNA", at positions 29 to 507 of the family's 1533-position model. The record is from RNAcentral.
AGUGAACGCUGGCGGUAGGCCUAACACAUGCAAGUCGAACGGCAGCACAGUAAGAGCUUGCUCUUACGGGUGGCGAGUGGCGGACGGGUGAGGAAUACAUCGGAAUCUACUUUUUCGUGGGGGAUAACGUAGGGAAACUUACGCUAAUACCGCAUACGACCUACGGGUGAAAGCAGGGGAUCUUCGGACCUUGCGCGAUUGAAUGAGCCGAUGUCGGAUUAGCUAGUUGGCGGGGUAAAGGCCCACCAGGGCGACGAUCCGUAGCUGGUCUGAGAGGAUGAUCAGCCACACUGGAACUGAGACACGGUCCAGACUCCUACGGGAGGCAGCAGUGGGGAAUAUUGGACAAUGGGCGCAAGCCUGAUCCAGCCAUACCGCGUGGGUGAAGAAGGCCUUCGGGUUGUAGAGCCCUUUUGUUGGGAAAGAAAAGCAGCAGGUUAAUACCCCGCUGUUCUGACGGUACCCAAAGAAUAAGCACCGGCUAACUUCGUG